Molecule: ribosomal RNA, 460 nt
Filed under: uncultured bacterium
Lineage: Bacteria
Description: partial 16S ribosomal RNA
Rfam family: Bacterial small subunit ribosomal RNA
Source: RNAcentral
CCUACGGGAGGCAGCAGUGAGGAAUAUUGGUCAAUGGCCGUAAGGCUGAACCAGCCAAGUCGCGUGAAGGAAGAAGGACCUAUGGUUUGUAAACUUCUUUUAUAAGGGAAUAAAGGUAGCCACGUGUGGCUAUUUGCAUGUACCCUAUGAAUAAGCAUCGGCUAACUCCGUGCCAGCAGCCGCGGUAAUACGGAGGAUGCGAGCGUUAUCCGGAUUUAUUGGGUUUAAAGGGUGCGUAGGUGGGUUUUUAAGUCAGCGGUGAAAGUUUGGGGAUCAACCAUAAAAUUGCCGUUGAAACUGGAAGCCUUGAGUGUGUGUGAGGUAGGCGGAAUGCGGGGUGUAGCGGUGAAAUGCAUAGAUAUCACGCAGAACUCCGAUUGCGAAGGCAGCUUACUAAGCCAUAACUGACACUGAGGCACGAAAGCGUGGGUAUCAAACAGGAUUAGAUACCCCUGUAGUC